This 253-nucleotide ribosomal RNA is filed under the name uncultured bacterium. RNAcentral describes it as "partial 16S ribosomal RNA". It matches the Rfam family "Bacterial small subunit ribosomal RNA", at positions 524 to 776 of the family's 1533-position model. The record is from RNAcentral.
GACGGAGGGUGCUAGCGUUGUUCGGAAUGACUGGGCGUAAAGGGCGCGUAGGCGGCCGCUUGCGUCGGAUGUGAAAGCCCGGGGCUCAACCCCGGAACGGCAUCCGAUACGGGGCGGCUCGAGACCGAGAGAGGUGAGUGGAAUACCCAGUGUAGAGGUGAAAUUCGUAGAUAUUGGGUGGAACACCGGUGGCGAAAGCGGCUCACUGGCCCGAGACUGACGCUGAGGCGCGAAAGCGUGGGGAGCAAACAGG